UACGGAGGGUGCAAGCGUUGCUCGGAAUCACUGGGCUUAAAGGGCGCGUAGGCGGCUUGCCAAGUCAGUGGUGAAAUCCCGCAGCUUAACUGCGGAAGUGCCUUUGAUACUGGCGAGCUCGAGGGAGGUAGGGGUGUGUGGAACUUCUGGUGGAGCGGUGAAAUGCGUUGAUAUCAGAAGGAACGCCGGUGGCGAAAGCGACGUACUGGACCUCUUCUGACGCUGAGGCGCGAAAGCUAGGGGAGCAAACGGG
Molecule: ribosomal RNA, 253 nt
Filed under: uncultured prokaryote
Description: partial 16S ribosomal RNA
Rfam family: Bacterial small subunit ribosomal RNA
Source: RNAcentral